GACGAACGCUGGCGGCGUGUCUAAUACAUGCAAGUCGAACGAGGAUUUCUUACACCGAGUGCUUGCACUCACCGUAAGAAAUUCGAGUGGCGGACGGGUGAGUAACACGUGGGUAACCUGCCCAAAAGAAGGGGAUAACAUUUGGAAACAAAUGCUAAUACCGUAUAACCAUGAUGACCGCAUGGUCAUUAUGUAAAAGGUGGUUCUGCUAUCGCUUUUGGAUGGACCCGCGGCGUAUUAACUAGUUGGUAGGGUAACGGCCUACCAAGGUGAUGAUACGUAGCCGAGUUGAGAGACUGAUCGGCCACAAUGGGACUGAGACACGGCCCAUACUCCUACGGGAGGCAGCAGUAGGGGAUCUUCCACAAUGGGCGCAAGCCUGAUGGAGCAACGCCGCGUGAAUGAAGAAGGUCUUCGGAUCGUAAAAUUCUGUUGUUGGAGAAGAACGUGCGUG
RNAcentral lists this ribosomal RNA (454 nucleotides) under uncultured Lactobacillus sp. Its description in RNAcentral is "bacterial SSU rRNA". It matches the Rfam family "Bacterial small subunit ribosomal RNA", at positions 28 to 457 of the family's 1533-position model. Lineage: Bacteria; Bacillati; Bacillota; Bacilli; Lactobacillales; Lactobacillaceae. The record is from RNAcentral.